Molecule: small RNA, 6426 nt
Filed under: Rattus norvegicus (Norway rat)
Lineage: Eukaryota; Metazoa; Chordata; Mammalia; Rodentia; Muridae
Description: uncharacterized LOC102549347
Source: RNAcentral
GGGCUUCCGGCGGCGCCAUUGCUCGAGCCAGAGCGGGAGGGCGGGGCGACGCGGUGCGAUGGUUUCGGGUCCGCGGCAGGUGAUACCCGCACGCUGCUUCGUGUGCGCUGUCGUUAGGGCGCCGUGGCCUCGCGUCCGGCGUGGGACUCUGGCGAGGAGACGGAGUGAGUGAGGAAUUCGUACAAGGGACUCUCAACCGCAGAGAGCCGUAGGAAGAAAUGAGGUGGAACCCGCAGACUUUUUAGAGCCUUCUCGCGGCCGAGGAGGGACUCUGGCUUAUUUCCUAACUCACCGUUCACUCGUGCUUUAUAGUUGAACAAUAGUUAAAUAUUUAAAGAUUCAGACAAAGCAGCAGCCGGGCUGGGAUGUGUCCAAUGAACCUUGUUACCAAGGGGGAAAUGCUGCCACUCUGUGGGAAAGAGAUUUUGUUGUUUGUUUUUAAUUUAAGAGCCUAACUUAUUUCACAAAGGAAUGGUCGAUACUUGCCCAAAGUAAACUGUCAAUAAUUAAACUGUCAGGGCAUAGAGAUCCCACAGAAGUACUUGUUCUUCCAAUACAUAAAUAAAGGACUUCAAAAGUCAACAAACAGAAAGGGGUGCGUUAAAUGGGUCUUCUAAUCUACAGGAACUGAAAGAUUAGCUCUGGUUUGGUUGGUGCUCACAUUUUGUGAUUGCUUGCCUGAACUACUUGCUCUGUUUGACCGCCUCUGGCGAAUGUUGCAAGACCUCCUCACUGUUGUGUGCCAAAUAAAGCAGGUUUUUAUUCCUGAGAGACUGUGAGUGUUCUCUUUGAGGGGCAAGCCGAGACAUGUAUGAGUAGUUAAAGUAUAACAACAGUAACCAUUAUUUACCGAGAAGCAGACUUUGGCAGAUAAUCUAAGGAUCUAAAAUACUGCUCCUCGGGUAUAUUGCUAAUGGUUGCAUAUUGUAUUAGCAGCAGUGGUCUUCUUAUUCUUGGGUGAAAACCUGAAGGGUUGCUUAGACCUGUUGCAGAACAAACAGCACAUAACCAGCUUGUAUCAGGGACAUGGUCACUUCAGUAGAUGGUUUCUCACAAGUUCUGCCUCCCACUGUGUUGCUGUUUUAUCUCUAAAGGCCCCAGGGUCCCCACAAGUCUUGGGAAUAAAAGGAAGCACAGUAAGGAACUGAAAAGUACUCACACAAAGGAAAGAAAGAAGCAAGCUUCUUUGGCUAUAGUGUACUGGAGACCUUGGGAUCUUUACGUUCUUGUUUUAGGGAUCAAUCUCCUGGUACAUUAGGCAGACUUGUGCAAACCCAAGAACAGCAUAGAGGUUGCUAUAGAGGACAGCCUUACUGUGGCCCUUCAUUACCUUAACCAAAGAUGGUAAGUAAGAUUGGCUCCCACACCGUGAACUGUUCAAUGGUGAGCAGCUCUUGAGUCUCCAUACUGAUACCCCUUCAGAACUCAUUCACUCUGAGAGCCUUUUCCUCUUAGACUAGAAAGCUUCCUAGUUGACCUCUAGUCAUUUGGGCUCCUUCACAUCAGUAAAUUAGUCUAUAUCUGACCAGUCCUCUAGCUCCUUAUCCUUUCUGAGAGGAAGGGGAGUAGUUGUGGUUUUGUUUGUUUGAGUCUUGCUAUGUAGUGGAGGCUAUACUUGGACCCUGGGUCAUUCUGGUCCAGCCUCUUAAGUAAUGGAAUGAUGGACAUUCACCACCGCUAUUGUCUCUUAACUCGGACUUUAGUGUCUCCCAAAUGUCCUUCAGACAUCGUUUUUAAAUAACAAUAAGUUCUGCCUUGUUCGUAAGUAAAUUUUAGCCAGGUGUAACCCCCUAGACUUGAAAGGUGAAGACAAGCAGGUUAAGAAUUCAAUAUCUUGAUAGGCAUGCAGUGAGUUUGAACCAUUCCAGGCUACUUGAGACCCUGCCUCAGAGAGGAGGUAGGGUGUUGAGGUAGUUCCCAUUGGAGUCCAGACUGGGAAGAGCUGUGUAUUCAAAAUUAAAACAGCUUGCCUGCAUAGGGAACUCUAAAGCGAAGGAAGAUCUACACAGUAUUUGUGAUUACACAAAGCCUUAAAAAAUUGUAAGUUUGCUUUUCUCUUGAGAAGGUGAUGUCUAGCAGACUUGUCAUUCAUUGGUCUCUAAAGUCUUUCUACCUUUGUAAGUACAAAGUUAAGUCUCACUCUAACCGUGUGUCAAUGAAAGGAGCAUGCCCUGAAUAAGAUUGUACUGUAGGGAUGUGAUUUGCUCUGGUUAAAAGGUGCUGAAAGGUCUCUCACCUGUACUUGGCCUUCUGCCCCCCACCCCUAGUUACCCUGUACAUAUAUGACUUCUUCUGGUAGGAUUGGGUUUUAUCCCUGAAGUUUUAUUUUUACAGUUUUGCUUUUCAUCCAAACACAGUGCAAAUGCCUCUCUUCAUCAGCACGUUUGUAACUUUAAGAAUUAAUUGGGCUCGUUAUAUUUUGAAGAGCAUGCUGAAGAAUAGUAAAUUUUAAAGAACCAGCUGAGAACAUUGUGUACCAUGUUCUGAAGUCAGUGCGUCUCAAAUACUGUCGCUAAUCCUGAAGUAAAUCACCCAUCAAAGAUUCAUGUUCUUAGACAGUUAAAGAACAGAAGACUUCAAAAGUAAAGCAGGAUUCUAAACAUACCUUACCAAAAUCCCCACUCGCUCAGAGUCUUGGCAGAAGUGUUUUUGUUUUUCUUUUUCCCUCCACAAAGUAGAGUUAUACUUUUUGAGUCUAUCAUUGCCCACAACUAAAAUCCCCGACUUCAGGAUUUCCUGCUGCCCAGGUGGUGGCAGCAUGUCUCAGAGAGCUAGUGUGCUGGGGAAAGGCUUAACCCCAGCCUGGCUGGCUGGCUGCUUGUUUGAACGUGCAUAACCUGCCUCUGUGCAGAACGCUUUCACUUCUCCAUUUAUCGACCCAUGAGUGAUUCAUCCCACUGUAGCCUCCUCUUCUAGGUACAUUACACUCCAGUAGUUUCUCUUCAGCUUGUUCUGUCUAUAAAGUAUCUAUCAGACUCUCUCUAGAAAACUCAUUAGGACCUAUCAGGCGAGACAGUGUUAUUUCAGUUGUUAUUUUUAACCAGUAUUUGAUAUUAUUGGCAGUACUGACAGUAUCAGUAUUAGCUAAUACUACUAAGAAAUGUCUGCUUAAAAUAAAGGCAUGGUGUCUUAAACUCACAGAUUCAUCAGCGGAGGAGCUUAUGAAAAGCAGAAUUAGGACUCAAACGAACAAGAAACUCCACAGAGAGUAAUGCGAGAUUAUCAUUUAUGGGUCUAAGAAGACAGAGGGUAUAGGACGCUGGCAGUCAAGGCUGAAUUCCAUCCCCAGAUCCCAACUCAUGGAAGCUUCGCACAGAAGCCGGUUGUCAUCCUCUGAGCUGCUCUAAUGAGAUGCAAGGACCGAAGGAUGGCUGAGGGCCAGGGAGGAGCUCAAUCCUGUCCUUGGGAGUCGGUCUGGUCACGUUCUCUUCUUUCAAGCUGAAGAUGGCACCCGCUCGGCUAAGCCGGUGAAUGUGGACUUACAAGGACUCAGCCAAGUCGUGUCUAGAUUACAGGCCAAAGAUGACGAGGGAAAGAGAGCACCAGGCAAAACAAAUUUUAAUUACAAUAAUGAUGAAUGGUCCAAUAGAGCUGCAAGAUAAUGGAAGGAAGAUGGGGUACCUGAAGCCAGCUCGUUAAAAUCAGAAAAGGUGUCCUCGAGGAAACGUGGGUCCCAGACUUAAGGUAAGUAUAAAACUAAUGAGUGUGAAUAUGGCAGAAUGAACACAGCGAAGGAGUAAGGAGAGCUAAGGGGUCCAGUUGUCAAAUGAGCAGGGAGAUGGCAUGUGAUUACUUGAAGAAGAGGGAGGACCCUCUAGGGAGUAGGGGGCUGCUGACAGAAGACAAAACUGAGGGGUUGAGCGGUCUGAACAGGAGAGGUGAGGACACACCUUCUGGUGGUGGCAGAGGGAGGGGGUCUAGGGGAGAUGGCUUAUUACUCAGGGUGGGGCAAGGAUAGGCAGCAAAAGCAUCAGGGGCUGGUCUCGGAGUCCGGUCUGGCGAUGCUAUAGCAGAAAGGUUAGGGCUGCCUGCUCACAGGAUUCGGGUAAAGCCUGAGACAGAGGGGUGGGGGAGGGGAGACAACUGUUCUGAUCCAAACUUCCUAACUUUAGAGCAUACACAUCAGCAACUGAUGAGUCGCACUUGAGGUGGAAACCAAUAUGCCAGUGCCAUUUGGUGGAAGAACACAUGGGAGAGGAUGCCUUACUGACCUGGGAGGAAUUUUGAGUGUGACUUUAUUUAUCGCUGUGUUUUAGUGAUUUGUAGUCAGUUUUUUAAUAAGACUGGGAAGACCAUUUCCUUUUUUUCCUUUUUUUUUUUGUUUUUUGUUUGUUUGUUUGUUUUGUUUUGUUUUUUUUAGACAAAGCUUAGGUGGCCCAGGCUGACCCUGAACUUCUGAUCUUCUUGCUUUGCCUCUGGAGAGUUGGGGGUUACAGAAGGGCACCGUCGUGCUUUGCUUAGGAGACCUUGAGAAUUAGCUGUGUUGACUUGGAGAGCACACUUUACUUCAGGAUGACCCACAGACUCUAUUCUCAUCCACUGGUUGUGGUAGUUUGUUCAGUUCUUCCAUUUUAGGUACCUUUGCCCCAAGCUCAAGCGUUUUUUAUUUAGACAUCAAUAGAAUAGGAGCUGACAGCACAUCAAAUUUACGUGUAUUUUAUUUCAUUUUUAUAGAUGAAUUCUGUAUUUACAUCCUUCCAUUCUUCCCCCCUCAAUUUUUCCUGUUUCCCUAACUCCUUUUAAAAUUCACAAUCUCUUAAUUAUUAUCAUUAUAUAUGAAUGCAUAUGUAUAUAUCUAUACAUGCUACACAAAUAUAGCAAUAAUAUUAUACACACCCACAACCUGUUGAGUUCCUUUAGUGUUCUCAUAUGUAUGUGAGUUUAGGGCUGACUACUUGGCAUUCUAAUUUUGAGCCUAGACUUUAAUGGCUGAGACAUCUCUCCAGCCCAGGGCUAGCCACUUAGGGUUAGAUAACCCAAUUGGUGGCUGGUCCCUGGAAAAGACUGCUUCUCCCUCUCUUAAUAGCCAUUGGUUACCUGUAGCUCUUCAUUGCAUGGUGGGGUCCUGUGAGUGAUAGCAUUUCAUGAUCCUUGCUAACGAUUUGGUCACUGUUUUCUUUUCAAAGAGCGAUACUGCCCAAGAUGUUUCUGCCCAGAGUGUCAGGGCAAGCGUACAUGCUUUACUGUGGAUCUAUGACACAGAUGCAUGCCCGCUUUCCAGCAAAAGUCUGCUCACCUGCUGGGCAGGGCUCUCCGUUUUUUUUUUUAUUGAGUGGUGAAGACACAUAGCAUUCCCACUACUUAAUCUUGACGCUUUGAACUUUUCAAGCUGUUUUUCCUUCCCCUUUAGUCUGGAUAGCCGCUGUGUCCCCACAAGAGGAGGAACAGUCAUGGAGAAACACAACUGAACUUUACUGUGGCAAAAAGAAAGGGAAAAUAACAAUUAUGAGGUCUGGACAUCGAGCCUGAGGCUGGUGUUAAAAAAAAAAGAAUGCUUAUGUCUGCAUAACUUAACUUGUAUCUCUUCAGUAAAUCAAACCUGCUAUUCCACUUGACUGCAUCCAAGUCACUUAGAUGUCUGCCAACAAGAACAUUAAUGAACUCAGUAUCUCACGCAGGUUUGUUCAUGUAGAGCCCACAAUUGCUUAGCCUCCCUUCCAGCUGCUGCCUGGGCUCCAUCUGAAGGAGGUGGACAGCUGGACCAGGUCAUCACUUAACCCCAGGAUGUGGUAUGUCCUGGUCUUCAAGUCCUCUGUCUGGUUUUAGGAUGGCAUGGCUUUGAAAAGUAGUAGUUCUUGUCCUGAAAAACUUCAUGAAGCUUUGCUGCGUUCUGCCUUUGACGUAAGUGCCUGUCACAUGCUACAUAACUGACUAUGUUGUACUCUUGCUCUCUGGGGUCUCAGUUUACCUCCAUGGAUUUAUAAUUAAUGGGAUUAUUCCAGAACACAUUGUUACUCCUUAGAUUUCUCCAGAUGAUACGAGACGAUUAAGAGAAAUGCUGAAGUUGAUAUGAACCUAAUUUGUCAAAAAUGUAACAGAAUUAUAGAGAGAUCAGUCACUCCCAAACCUUUCUGCAGGUGGAGUCUAACGAAGGGAGGUCUAUAAAGUUCUAAGUCCCAGGCUGCGUGCCAGACCAAUAAAACCACACUUCUGAGGAUGGGCUUCAGGCAACAGUAGUAUGUUCACUCCACAGGUCAUCCCCAUGUGGAGACAUGUUUGGAAACCACAGAUCUGGACAAGGCCGUUGGCAACACGUCUGUGGCUCGUUCUCCCCUGCCCUGCCCUGCGGUUGGUGGCAUGUUUUUGGCUUUUUAGCAUCUUCCUUAUCUCCAUCCACAGAGAACUCCGAAGUUGGAAGCCUAAGCAGGAACACUGGACCAGACAUGACUGAAAGGUAACAACCAUUAAAGGAGCAAAGACCAAAAA